Molecule: long non-coding RNA, 218 nt
Filed under: Vigna radiata
Lineage: Eukaryota; Viridiplantae; Streptophyta; Magnoliopsida; Fabales; Fabaceae
Description: long non-coding RNA (VRAD_LNC005425)
Source: RNAcentral
GCCAGUCUACUUUAAAUAAGGAGUACAACCACUACUUUAAAUAAAUACUUUCUCCACUACAACUUGUCUGAAAUUACAUCCUUAAAUACACACUAUUUCCUCUACUCAAUUACAACUUGCUUGAGACCCUAGAAUUUGUCCAGCCAGUCUUGAGGAUGCUCUUGUUCCCCCUUCACGCAUAGUUGCAGAUCCUCCAGCUCCUGAUGUUGAUGCAGCCC